Molecule: ribosomal RNA, 468 nt
Filed under: uncultured bacterium
Lineage: Bacteria
Description: partial 16S ribosomal RNA
Rfam family: Bacterial small subunit ribosomal RNA
Source: RNAcentral
GACGAACGCUGGCGGCGUGCUUAACACAUGCAAGUCGAACGGAAAGGCCCUGCUUUUGUGGGGUGCUCGAGUGGCGAACGGGUGAGUAACACGUGAGUAACCUGCCCUUGACUUUGGGAUAACUUCAGGAAACUGGGGCUAAUACCGGAUAGGAGCUCCUGCUGCAUGGUGGGGGUUGGAAAGUUUCGGCGGUUGGGGAUGGACUCGCGGCUUAUCAGCUUGUUGGUGGGGUAGUGGCUUACCAAGGCUUUGACGGGUAGCCGGCCUGAGAGGGUGACCGGCCACAUUGGGACUGAGAGACGGCCCAGACUCCUACGGGAGGCAGCAGUGGGGAAUAUUGCACAAUGGGCGGAAGCGUGAUGCAGCAACGCCGCGUGCGGGAUGACGGCCUUCGGGUUGUAAACCGCUUUCGCCUGUGACGAAGCGUGAGUGACGGUAAUGGGUAAAGAAGCACCGGCUAACUACGUG